AAAGAUUAAGCCAUGCAUGUCUAAGUAUAAGCAUUUAUACGGCGAAACUGCGAAUGGCUCAUUAUAUAAGUUAUCGUUUAUUUGAUAGCACCUUCUUACUCGGAUACCUGUGGUAAUUCUAGAGCUAAUACGUGCUGAAAUGCUCGACUCACGAAGAGCUGUAUUUAUUAGAUUAAAAACCAAUGCCCUUCGGGGCUUUCUGGUGAUUCAUGAUAACUUCUCGAAUCGCAUGGCCUUGCGCCGGCGAUGGUUCAUUCAAAUUUCUUCCCUAUCAACUUUCGAUGCGAGGGUCUUGUCCUCGCAUGGUUUCAACGGGUGACGGAGGGUUAGGGCUCGACCCCGGAGAAGGAGCCUGAGAAACGGCUACUACAUCCAAGGAAGGCAGCAGGCGCGCAAAUUACCCAAUCCCGACACGGGGAGGUAGUGACAAUAAAUACUGAUACAGGGCUCUUUUGGGUCUUGUAAUCGGAAUGAGUACUAUUUAAAUCCCAUAACGAGGAACAAUUGGAGGGCAAGUCUGGUGCCAGCAGCCGCGGUAAUUCCAGCUCCAAUAGCGUAUAUUAAAGUUGUUGUGGUUAAAAAGCUCGUAGUUGAACCUUGGGCCUGGCUUGUCGGUCCCCCUCACCGGGUGCACCGAUCCAGCCGGGUCUUUCCCGCUGUGGAACCCCAUGGCCUUCACUGGUCGUGGCGGGGAAACAGGACUUUUACUUUGAAAAAAUUAGAGUGCUCCAGGCAGGCUAUGCUCGAAUACAUUAGCAUGGAAUAAUAAAAUAGGACGCGUGGUUCUAUUUUGUUGGUUUUUAGAACCGCCGUAAUGAUUAAUAGGGACAGUCGGGGGCAUCUGUAUUCAAUUGUCAGAGGUGAAAUUCUUGGAUCUAUUGAAGACAAACUACUGCGAAAGCAUUUGCCAAGGAUGUUUUCAUUGAUAAGGAACGAAAGUUAGGGGAUCGAAGACGAUCAGAUACCGUCGUAGUCUUAACUAUAAACUAUGCCGACUAGGGAUCGGACGAUGUUAUCAUUUGACUCGUUCGGCACCUUUCGAGAAAUCAAAGUGCUUGGGCUCCAGGGGGAGUAUGGUC
RNAcentral lists this ribosomal RNA (1079 nucleotides) under Panorbis viscosus. RNAcentral's name for it is "SSU rRNA". It matches the Rfam family "Eukaryotic small subunit ribosomal RNA", at positions 39 to 1130 of the family's 1831-position model. The record is from RNAcentral. Lineage: Eukaryota; Fungi; Ascomycota; Sordariomycetes; Microascales; Halosphaeriaceae.